This 341-nucleotide ribosomal RNA is filed under the name uncultured bacterium. RNAcentral's name for it is "bacterial SSU rRNA". It matches the Rfam family "Bacterial small subunit ribosomal RNA", at positions 32 to 355 of the family's 1533-position model. The record is from RNAcentral.
AAUCAACGCUGGCGGCGUGCCUAACACAUGCAAGUCGAGCGCGAAUUGGGGGGCGAACUCCCAUAGUAGAGCGGCAAACGGGUGAGUAACGCGUGGGUGAUCUACCUUCGAGUGGGGAACAACAUCGGGAAACUGGUGCUAAUACCGCAUGACAUCCUCGGAUCAAUCUGGGGAUCAAAGCUGGGGACCGCAAGGCCUGGCGCUUGAAGACGAGCCCCGCGUCCGAUUAGCUAGUUGGCGGGGUAAUGGCCCACCAAGGCUUCGAUCGGUAGCCGGCCUGAGAGGGCGGACGGCCACACUGGGACUGAGACACGGCCCAGACUCCUACGGGAGGCAGCAGU